This 494-nucleotide ribosomal RNA is filed under the name uncultured bacterium. Its description in RNAcentral is "partial 16S ribosomal RNA". It matches the Rfam family "Bacterial small subunit ribosomal RNA", at positions 28 to 507 of the family's 1533-position model. The record is from RNAcentral.
GACGAACGCUGGCGGCGUGCUUAACACAUGCAAGUCGAACGGCAAGGCCUGCUUUCCCUUGUGGAUUGCGGGUACUCGAGUGGCGAACGGGUGAGUAACACGUGAGUGAUCUGCCCCCAACUUGGGAAUAAGCCUGGGAAACUGGGUCUAAUUCCCGAUAGGACUGCAGGGUGGAGCCUGUGGUGGAAAACGAUUUUCUAGUGGUUGGGGAUGAGCUCGCGGCCUUUCGGCUUGUUGGUGGGGUAAUGGCCUACCAAGGCGGCGACGGGUAGCCGGCCUGAGAGUGUGGACGGCCACAUUGGGACUGGGAUACGGCCCAGACGCCUACGGGAGGCAGCAGUGGGGAAUAUUGCACAAUGGGCGGAAGCCUGAUGCAGCGACGCCGCGUGGGGGAUGACGGCCUUCGGGUUGUAAACUCCUUUCGACCGCGAGGAAGCCACCUGGUUGGAAGGGUGGUGACGGUAGUGGUAGAAGAAGCACCGGCUAACUACGUG